This 372-nucleotide transfer-messenger RNA is filed under the name Corynebacterium bovis. RNAcentral describes it as "Standard tmRNA". It matches the Rfam family "transfer-messenger RNA". Rfam says of the family: Bacterial tmRNA, also known as 10Sa RNA or SsrA, is named for its dual tRNA and mRNA-like properties. Its role is to liberate the mRNA from a stalled ribosome. The record is from RNAcentral. Lineage: Bacteria; Bacillati; Actinomycetota; Actinomycetes; Mycobacteriales; Corynebacteriaceae.
GGGGCCGACAUGGUUUCGACUUCGUUGAUUGGGCCAGGGGAAGCGUGCCGGUGCAGGCUGGAGACCACCGUAAGCGUCGCAGCAACCUGAUAAGCGCCGAGAACACUCAGCGCGACUACGCCCUCGCUGCCUAAGCAGCGACGCGUGUCUGUCGGCCCGGGUACGUCCCCGACCCGGUCACCGGCAUCGUUCAGGGGACUCGCCGCGCGGCUGCGCCGUCUGGGCCGCGCGGGACAUCUGCAGGCGGCUGGGCUCAUCGUCCGGGCUGGUCCGCGUGACCCGGAGAGCCGAGCAGGGAUGGAGCGGACUGCGCACGGAGAAGCCCUGGCGAGGUUGCGAAGGACCCGGGUUCAAUUCCCGGCGGCUCCACUG